This 332-nucleotide ribosomal RNA is filed under the name Enterococcus faecium. Its description in RNAcentral is "bacterial SSU rRNA". It matches the Rfam family "Bacterial small subunit ribosomal RNA", at positions 1181 to 1512 of the family's 1533-position model. Lineage: Bacteria; Bacillati; Bacillota; Bacilli; Lactobacillales; Enterococcaceae. The record is from RNAcentral.
GACGUCAAAUCAUCAUGCCCCUUAUGACCUGGGCUACACACGUGCUACAAUGGGAAGUACAACGAGUUGCGAAGUCGCGAGGCUAAGCUAAUCUCUUAAAGCUUCUCUCAGUUCGGAUUGCAGGCUGCAACUCGCCUGCAUGAAGCCGGAAUCGCUAGUAAUCGCGGAUCAGCACGCCGCGGUGAAUACGUUCCCGGGCCUUGUACACACCGCCCGUCACACCACGAGAGUUUGUAACACCCGAAGUCGGUGAGGUAACCUUUUGGAGCCAGCCGCCUAAGGUGGGAUAGAUGAUUGGGGUGAAGUCGUAACAAGGUAGCCGUAGGAGAGUU